Molecule: ribosomal RNA, 782 nt
Filed under: Salmonella enterica subsp. enterica serovar Typhimurium
Lineage: Bacteria; Pseudomonadati; Pseudomonadota; Gammaproteobacteria; Enterobacterales; Enterobacteriaceae
Description: partial 23S ribosomal RNA
Rfam family: Bacterial large subunit ribosomal RNA
Source: RNAcentral
GGGUUGUGAGGUUAAGCGACUAAGCGUACACGGUGGAUGCCCUGGCAGUCAGAGGCGAUGAAGGGCGUGCUAAUCUGCGAUAAGCGCCGGUAAGGUGAUAUGAACCGUUAUAACCGGCGAUACCCGAAUGGGGAAACCCAGUGUGAUUCGUCACACUAUCAUUAACUGAAUCCAUAGGUUAAUGAGGCGAACCGGGGGAACUGAAACAUCUAAGUACCCCGAGGAAAAGAAAUCAACCGAGAUUCCCCCAGUAGCGGCGAGCGAACGGGGAGGAGCCCAGAGCCUGAAUCAGCAUGUGUGUUAGUGGAAGCGUCUGGAAAGGUGCGCGAUACAGGGUGACAGCCCCGUACACAAAAGCGCAUGUGCUGUGAGCUCGAUGAGUAGGGCGGGACACGUGGUAUCCUGUCUGAAUAUGGGGGGACCAUCCUCCAAGGCUAAAUACUCCUGACUGACCGAUAGUGAACCAGUACCGUGAGGGAAAGGCGAAAAGAACCCCGGCGAGGGGAGUGAAAAAGAACCUGAAACCGUGUACGUACAAGCAGUGGGAGCACCCUUCGGGGUGUGACUGCGUACCUUUUGUAUAAUGGGUCAGCGACUUAUAUUCUGUAGCAAGGUUAACCGUAUAGGGGAGCCGGAGGGAAACCGAGUCUUAACCGGGCGUUAAGUUGCAGGGUAUAGACCCGAAACCCGGUGAUCUAGCCAUGGGCAGGUUGAAGGUUGGGUAACACUAACUGGAGGACCGAACCGACUAAUGUUGAAAAAUUAGCGGAUGACCUGUGGCU